Molecule: small nuclear RNA, 99 nt
Organism: Ailuropoda melanoleuca (giant panda)
Lineage: Eukaryota; Metazoa; Chordata; Mammalia; Carnivora; Ursidae
Source: Ensembl
GUGCUUGCUCCAGCAGCACACACACUAGAAUUGGAGUGAUACAGAGAAGCAUGCCCCCGCAAGGAUGACACACAAAUUCAUGAAGCAUUCCGUAUUUCC